UGGGGAAUCUUCCGCAAUGGACGAAAGUCUGACGGAGCAACGCCGCGUGUAUGAUGAAGGUCUUCGGAUUGUAAAGUACUGUCUUUGGGGAAGAACGGUCUCUUUGAGAAUAUUGAGGGGACAUGACGGUACCCAAAGAGGAAGCCCCGGCUAACUACGUGCCAGCAGCCGCGGUAAUACGUAGGGGGCAAGCGUUGUCCGGAAUUAUUGGGCGUAAAGGGCGCGUAGGCGGAUUUUUAAGUCCGAUGUGAAAGAUCAGGGCUCAACCCUGAGAGUGCAUCGGAAACUGGGGAUCUUGAGGACAGGAGAGGAAAGUGGAAUUCCACGUGUAGCGGUGAAAUGCGUAGAUAUGUGGAGGAACACCAGUGGCGAAGGCGACUUUCUGGACUGUAACUGACGCUGAGGCGCGAAAGCGUGGGGAGCAAACA
This 428-nucleotide ribosomal RNA is filed under the name uncultured Desulfosporosinus sp. RNAcentral describes it as "bacterial SSU rRNA". It matches the Rfam family "Bacterial small subunit ribosomal RNA", at positions 355 to 774 of the family's 1533-position model. The record is from RNAcentral. Lineage: Bacteria; Bacillati; Bacillota; Clostridia; Eubacteriales; Desulfitobacteriaceae.